AGGUCUUGACAUCCUCUGACAAUCCUAGAGAUAGGACGUCUCCUUCGGGAGCAGAGUGACAGGUGGUGCAUGGUUGUCGUCAGCUCGUGUCGUGAGAUGUUGGGUUAAGUCCCGCAACGAGCGCAACCCUUGAUCUUAGUUGCCAUCAUUCAGUUGGGCACUCUAAGGUGACUGCCGGUGACAAACCGGAGGAAGGUGGGGAUGACGUCAAAUCAUCAUGCCCCUUAUGACCUGGGCUACACACGUGCUACAAUGGACAGAACAAAGAGCAGCGAAACCGCGAGGUUAAGCCAAUCCCACAAAUCCGUUCUCAGUUCGGAUCGCAGUCUGCAACUCGCCUGCGUGAAGCUGGAAUCGCUAGUAAUCGCGGAUCAGCAUGCCGCGGUGAAUACGUUCCCGGGCCUUGUACACACCGCCCGUCACACCACGAGAGUUUGUAACACCCGAAGUCGGUGAGGUAACCUUUUAUGGAGCCAGCCGCCUAAGGUGGGACAGAUGAU
This 500-nucleotide ribosomal RNA is filed under the name [Bacillus] enclensis. RNAcentral's name for it is "bacterial SSU rRNA". It matches the Rfam family "Bacterial small subunit ribosomal RNA", at positions 976 to 1475 of the family's 1533-position model. The record is from RNAcentral. Lineage: Bacteria; Bacillati; Bacillota; Bacilli; Caryophanales; Bacillaceae.